CUAAUACCGCAUAAGCCCACAGCUCGGCAUCGAGCAGAGGGAAAAGGAGCAAUCCGCUUUGAGAUGGCCUCGCGUCCGAUUAGCUAGUUGGUGAGGUAACGGCCCACCAAGGCAACGAUCGGUAGCCGGACUGAGAGGUUGAACGGCCACAUUGGGACUGAGACACGGCCCAGACUCCUACGGGAGGCAGCAGUGGGGAAUAUUGCACAAUGGGGGAAACCCUGAUGCAGCGACGCCGCGUGGAGGAAGAAGGUCUUCGGAUUGUAAACUCCUGUUGUUGAGGAAGAUAAUGACGGUACUCAACAAGGAAGUGACGGCUAACUACGUGCCAGCAGCCGCGGUAAAACGUAGGUCACAAGCGUUGUCCGGAAUUACUGGGUGUAAAGGGAGCGCAGGCGGGAAGACAAGUUGGAAGUGAAAUCUAUGGGCUCAACCCAUAAACUGCUUUCAAAACUGUUUUUCUUGAGUAGUGCAGAGGUAGGCGGAAUUCCCGGUGUAGCGGUGGAAUGCGUAGAUAUCGGGAGGAACACCAGUGGCGAAGGCGGCCUACUGGGCACCAACUGACGCUGAGGCUCGAAAGUGUGGGUAGCAAACAGGAUUAGAUACCCUGGUAGUCCACACCGUAAACGAUGAUUACUAGGUGUUGGAGGAUUGACCCCUUCAGUGCCGC
This 670-nucleotide ribosomal RNA is filed under the name uncultured bacterium. Its description in RNAcentral is "bacterial SSU rRNA". It matches the Rfam family "Bacterial small subunit ribosomal RNA", at positions 163 to 849 of the family's 1533-position model. The record is from RNAcentral.